This 468-nucleotide ribosomal RNA is filed under the name uncultured bacterium. RNAcentral's name for it is "partial 16S ribosomal RNA". It matches the Rfam family "Bacterial small subunit ribosomal RNA", at positions 28 to 507 of the family's 1533-position model. The record is from RNAcentral.
GACGAACGCUGGCGGCGUGCUUAACACAUGCAAGUCGAACGGAAAGGCCCUGCUUUUGUGGGGUGCUCGAGUGGCGAACGGGGGAGUAACACGUGAGUAACCUGCCCUUGACUUUGGGAUAACUUCAGGAAACUGGGGCUAAUACCGGAUAGGAGCUCCUGCUGCAUGGUGGGGGUUGGAAAGUUUCGGCGGUUGGGGAUGGACUCGCGGCGGAUCAGCUUGUUGGUGGGGUAGUGGCUUACCAAGGCUUUGACGGGUAGCCGGCCUGAGAGGGUGACCGGCCACAUUGGGACUGAGAUACGGCCCAGACUCCUCCGGGAGGCAGCAGUGCGGACUAUUGCACCCUGGGCGGCAGCCUGAUGCAGCAACGCCGCGUGCGGGAUGACGGCCUUCGGGUUGUAAACCGCUUUCGCCUGUGACGAAGCGUCAGUGACGGUAAUGGGUAAAGAAGCACCGGCUAACUACGUG